UUGCAAUGAUGACAAUCUUAGGACACCUUUGGAAUUAAUCAUGAAAACAAAACUGUACCUAUCUGAGCAAC
Molecule: small nucleolar RNA, 71 nt
Gene: SNORD58
Rfam family: Small nucleolar RNA SNORD58
About the family: snoRNA U58 is found in introns 1, 3 and 6 of the ribosomal protein RPL17 gene in humans. U58 is a member of the C/D class of snoRNA which contain C (UGAUGA) and D (CUGA) box motifs.
Source: Ensembl